Molecule: ribosomal RNA, 406 nt
Filed under: uncultured bacterium
Lineage: Bacteria
Description: partial 16S ribosomal RNA
Rfam family: Bacterial small subunit ribosomal RNA
Source: RNAcentral
AUUGAACGCUGGCGGCAGGCCUAACACAUGCAAGUCGAGCGAGCGGCGGACGGGUGAGUAAUGUCUGGGAAACUGCCUGAUGGAGGGGGAUAACUACUGGCAACGGUAGCUAAUACCGCAUACCAUCAGAUGUGCCCAGAUGGGAUUAGCUUGUGGGUGGGGUAAUGGCUCACCAAGGCGACGAUCCCUAGCUGGGCUGAGAGGAUGACCAGCCACACUGGAACGGAAGCACGGUCCAGACUCCUACGGUAGGCAGCAGUGGGGAAUAUUGCACAAUGGGCGCAGGCCUGAUGCAGCCAUGCCGAGUGUAUGAAGAAGGCCUUCGGGUUGGAAAGCACUUUCAGCGAGGAGGCGUUACUCGCAGAAGAAGCACCGGCUAACUCCGUGCCAGCAGCCGCGGUAAUAC